RNAcentral lists this ribosomal RNA (643 nucleotides) under uncultured Actinomycetes bacterium. RNAcentral's name for it is "bacterial SSU rRNA". It matches the Rfam family "Bacterial small subunit ribosomal RNA", at positions 232 to 885 of the family's 1533-position model. Lineage: Bacteria; Bacillati; Actinomycetota; Actinomycetes. The record is from RNAcentral.
CGCGGCCUAUCAGCUUGUUGGUGAGGUAAUGGCUCACCAAGGCGACGACGGGUAGCCGGCCUGAGAGGGCGACCGGCCACACUGGGACUGAGACACGGCCCAGACUCCUACGGGAGGCAGCAGUGGGGAAUAUUGGGCAAUGGAGGAAACUCUGACCCAGCGACGCCGCGUGAGGGAUGAAGGCCUUCGGGUUGUAAACCUCUUUCAGUAGGGAAGAAGCGAAAGUGACGGUACCUACAGGAGAAGCACCGGCUAACUAUGUGCCAGCAGCCGCGGUAAUACAUAGGGUGCAAGCGUUGUCCGGAAUUAUUGGGCGUAAAGAGCUCGUAGGUGGUUCGAUACGUCGGAUGUGAAAAUCAGGGGCUCAACCCCUGACCUGCAUCCGAUACGGUCGAGCUAGAGUUUGGUAGGGGAGACUGGAAUUCCUGGUGUAGCGGUGGAAUGCGCAGAUAUCAGGAGGAACACCGAUGGCGAAGGCAGGUCUCUGGGCCAAUACUGACACUGAGGAGCGAAAGCGUGGGGAGCGAACAGGAUUAGAUACCCUGGUAGUCCACGCCGUAAACGUUGGGAACUAGGUGUUGGCGACAUUCCACGUCGUCGGUGCCGCAGCUAACGCAUUAAGUUCCCCGCCUGGGGAGUACGG